GGGGAAUAUUGCACAAUGGGGGAAACCCUGAUGCAGCGACGCCGCGUGGAGGAAGAAGGUCUUCGGAUUGUAAACUCCUGUUGUUGAGGAAGAUAAUGACGGUACUCAACAAGGAAGUGACGGCUAACUACGUGCCAGCAGCCGCGGUAAAACGUAGGUCACAAGCGUUGUCCGGAAUUACUGGGUGUAAAGGGAGCGCAGGCGGGAAGACAAGUUGGAAGUGAAAUCUAUGGGCUCAACCCAUAAACUGCUUUCAAAACUGUUUUUCUUGAGUAGUGCAGAGGUAGGCGGAAUUCCCGGUGUAGCGGUGGAAUGCGUAGAUAUCGGGAGGAACACCAGUGGCGAAGGCGGCCUACUGGGCACCAACUGACGCUGAGGCUCGAAAGUGUGGGUAGCAAACAGGAUUAGAUACCCUGGUAGUCCACACCGUAAACGAUGAUUACUAGGUGUUGGAGGAUUGACCCCUUCAGUGCCGCAGUUAACACAAUAAGUAAUCCACCUGGGGAGUACGACCGCAAGGUUGAAACUCAAAGGAAUUGACGGGGGCCCGCACAAGCAGUGGAGUAUGUGGUUUAAUUCGACGCAACGCGAAGAACCUUACCAAGUCUUGACAUCCUGCGACGCACAUAGAAAUAUGUGUUUCCUUCGGGACGCAGAGACAGGUGGUGCAUGGUUGUCGUCAGCUCGUGUCGUGAGAUGUUGGGUUAAGUCCCGCAACGAGCGCAACCCUUACUGUCAGUUACUACGCAAGAGGACUCUGGCAGGACUGCCGUUGACAAAACGGAGGAAGGUGGGG
RNAcentral lists this ribosomal RNA (796 nucleotides) under uncultured bacterium. Its description in RNAcentral is "bacterial SSU rRNA". It matches the Rfam family "Bacterial small subunit ribosomal RNA", at positions 356 to 1178 of the family's 1533-position model. The record is from RNAcentral.